RNA transcript from Triticum aestivum (bread wheat), 2269 nucleotides. RefSeq lists it as uncharacterized. NCBI's taxonomy places the organism in Eukaryota, Viridiplantae, Streptophyta, Magnoliopsida, Poales, Poaceae. The transcript has 6 exons. The record is from RefSeq and is a predicted model, not a curated record.
GCCAAACAAACCCACUUUACGAGGGAGCGAUGCCUCCAGGUACUACCCUCGCAAGUAAGAAAAUCGAACGAAAAAAAGCCGACGAAAGAAGAUCAACGAAAAAAUCGCUUCCUCGUAACGUGCGAACGAGCGAAGCCUCCAGGGUGCCCUCGAGCGACGCCACACCAGAUCCCAUCGCCACCGCCCUCGCACUCGCAUCCCUUCGUCGCUGCCCUCGCACAUCAAGCCGCCGCUGAUCCCUGCGCUACGUCGAUGGGAGCCAUCGAUCGUCUUGCUACGAGGACGAUCCCGUUGAGGAGCCGCCGCCGAUCACGCCUAGGAUCCGAUGCCGAUCCCCUUCAGGAGCCGACGCCGAUCCCUUGAGCCAGCGUUGAUCCCCGUUGAGGAGCCGCCGACGAGAUCAUUGCGGAUAUAGAAAGGAGAUGGCCGAGGUAGCCGCAGAUGCGCAGACGCAGGUGGCCUCGGGGUAGCGGCGGCGCCUGCAAUGGGCGCCCUUUUCCAAGGGCCUGCUGCAGCUCCCUUCUUUCUGGAGUCACCCAAACAACCAACCAUCAUGCACCGUGCCCCGCGCUCCCGCCAUCGGAUUCCGUCCGCGUCUGCCACCAUGCGAUUGCCUUCCUCCCUCAGUGCCCUUAACUGAAGUUGGUUAUUCAUGCUGGCACGAAUUGGGCUGGCAAAAUGCUGACAGAGGAGCAGAAGACUAUGCAAGUAUGUAUGUGCCAAAAUUGACGGGCAAGUAAUGUUGACGGGUAAUUAACAAGGCGGCGGUGCUGCGCGAGGCGGUCAAGUUCGAGGUCGCGAGUUGCUGCGUCCACGGAUGUCCGUCGCUGCAUCUUCAUUCUCCUCACCUCCCCCGUCGACUGCAUCUUCAACCUCCAUCCGCCGCCGCCGUCCAUGGGAUGGUUAAUGGAAGGAGAAGCUUGUGGUGUGGCUCUGAAACUCCACCAUAUAACGUAGGAUGAUCCUGCCUCCUUGAUGGAGAAUAUUCUGGCUUAUGAAGUUUGUGUCUGACUCACCAUUAAAUUGUUCAGUGUGCUCGCUUGUGGUUUUGUUCUUGUUUUUCAUAAUGGACGUCCAUCCAAUCAGGAAUGUGAGUCAUGCUAUAGUUGGUAAAACAACAUGGGAGGAAGAUUAAUGUUGUUUAGGAUUUGACACAUCUUCUUUUCCGAAAGGAUUUUAAUGUGCUGCAUUGAUAUGCCUUUUCUAUUUGAUAAAUUGAUAUGCAAAAUGCCCUUUUGGAAAUUGUGGUUUUCUUCUGUAUUUUUGUCCUAAUAUAGAAUGUUCUAUUGCUGGAUUGAAUUACUCUCUCAGCAUUUUUUUUGACAUAUUAUAAUGCUCAGUUUGUUUACAGGAUGUUGAAUGUUGUCCAAGGAAGGAAUCAGUGCCGAGGUAAUCAACCUUCGAUCAAUCAGGCCACUGUAUAGAGCUGCCAUAAAAGCAUAUGUUAGGAAAACAAAUAGAUUGGUGGUUCUAGAAGAAGGCUCCCCCCAGCAUCGUGUUGGUGCUGAGAUAUGGCUCUCUCUCUCUCUCUCUCUCUCUCCACACACAUCAUGUUAGGUUUGAGCAGGCCAACCCUUCUCCAAUUAUUCAUUCGAAUAUACAGAUUCUCCAAUUAUAAGAAAGAAGAAUUUGAUAAAUUAGAGAGAGAUAUGCUUUCAUAAAUUGCUCAUCCCUGAAGGUUACAAAUUCAAGUGUUGGGUUUGAAGGAUGAAGCAAAUCCCAACUCCCAAGUAACAUGUUAAUAUAUGUUGAUGCACAUUUGUUUUUACUUUGCUUUAGGUUCGCAUGCGUUGACAGAGAUUUCAUCAACGUCGCCUCCAUUUUGUUGGUGAACCUACCUUUCCCUCUAAGCGACCUUGCAUAUGGUCAUUGGGUGCUGAUCGCCUCCAUGUCUUUGGUACAUUAUGAAGAAGAAGAUUGCUGGUCGAAAAGGCCAUUUAUUUUAUUGAAGAAAUUGGCAAGGAUGUAUUUUCAGUACAUUAGGAUUUUUGGUAGUCUCAUGGUUCUGCUAGGAAGAUACCGUCGCUACCAGGUCAACAAUCCCCCCUUCAAUAAUAUUUGAUUUAUAUUUUUUUAUGCCAUUCAUCGGAUCAAUGUGGCUUACAAUGACCGCUCGUAUGUUUUGAUUGUAGUAUUUCUCUAUGCUAUUUCACUAUUUUGGACUCAUGUUCUUUUCAUUGUGAUGUAAUAAGUGAAAUAAAUUGGGUCUAAUUCUUUGUGUAGACAUAGGUGUUUUAAAGAAAUAUAUGGCUUGUUUUAUUUUUGGCCC